AAAUUUUUAAAAUUACCCUCAAGAUAUUAUCGCAACAGAUUGAUAAACAAAUAGUGAAAGGAAUAUAAAGACAAGAGAAGACUUUUCUGUAUAAACCUCUUGAUAUUAGUAUGCUGUUCUAGUCUGCCACAAAGAGAUAACAGAAUCCAAAAUAUCUAAGCAGUGUACAAGACAUUUGAAGUGUGCCCCACAGAGAGCAGAACGAGUUGCCAGGCUAAAGAAUAGAUCUUUAAAAUAAAAUAUUUUUUUUCAUUUUAAAAA
Mytilus californianus (California mussel) is the source of this 261-nucleotide long non-coding RNA. RefSeq lists it as uncharacterized. The transcript has 2 exons. Lineage: Eukaryota; Metazoa; Mollusca; Bivalvia; Mytilida; Mytilidae. The record is from RefSeq and is a predicted model, not a curated record.